RNAcentral lists this ribosomal RNA (691 nucleotides) under uncultured bacterium. Its description in RNAcentral is "bacterial SSU rRNA". It matches the Rfam family "Bacterial small subunit ribosomal RNA", at positions 88 to 795 of the family's 1533-position model. The record is from RNAcentral.
UGGACUCAUGGCGGACGGGUGAGUAACGCGUAAAGAACUUGCCCUUUAGACUGGGAUAACAGAGGGAAACUUCUGAUAAUACUGGAUAAGUUAGUAUAUCGCAUGAUAUGCAAAUGAAAGCUACGGCACUAAAGGAGAGCUUUGCGUCCUAUUAGCUAGUUGGUAAGGUAAGAGCUUACCAAGGCGAUGAUAGGUAGCCGGCCUGAGAGGGUGGACGGCCACAAGGGGACUGAGAUACGGCCCUUACACCUACGGGAGGCAGCAGUGGGGAAUAUUGGACAAUGGAGGGAACUCUGAUCCAGCAAUUCUGUGUGUGUGAAGAAGGUUUUAGGACUGUAAAACACUUUUAGUAGGGAAGAAAAAAAUGACGGUACCUACAGAAGAAGCAACGGCUAAAUACGUGCCAGCAGCCGCGGUAAUACGUAUGUUGCGAGCGUUAUCCGGAAUUAUUGGGCUUAAAGGGCAUCUAGGCGGUAAGACAAGUUGAAGGUGAAAACCUGUGGCUCAACCAUAGGCUUGCCUACAAAACUGUUGAACUAGAGUACUGGAAAGGUGGGUGGAACUACACGAGUAGAGGUGAAAUUCGUAGAUAUGUGUAGGGAUGCCGAUGAUGAAGAUAACUCACUGGACAGAAACUGACGCUGAAGUGCGAAAGCUAGGGGAGCAAACAGGAUUAGAUACCCUGGUAGUC